AAAUUGAAGAGUUUGAUCAUGGCUCAGAUUGAACGCUGGCGGCAGGCCUAACACAUGCAAGUCGAACGGUAACAGAAAGCAGCUUGCUGCUUUGCUGACGAGUGGCGGACGGGUGAGUAAUGUCUGGGAAACUGCCCGAUGGAGGGGGAUAACUACUGGAAACGGUAGCUAAUACCGCAUAACGUCGCAAGACCAAAGAGGGGGACCUUAGGGCCUUUUGCCAUCGGAUGUGCCCAGAUGGGAUUAGCUAGUAGGUGGGGUAACGGCUCACCUAGGCGACGAUCCCUAGCUGGUCUGAGAGGAUGACCAGCCACACUGGAACUGAGACACGGUCCAGACUCCUACGGGAGGCAGCAGUGGGGAAUAUUGCACAAUGGGCGCAAGCCUGAUGCAGCCAUGCCGCGUGUAUGAAGAAGGCCUUCGGGUUGUAAAGUACUUUCAGCGGGGAGGAAGGGAGUAAAGUUAAUACCUUUGCUCAUUGACGUUACCCGCAGAAGAAGCACCGGCUAACUCCGUGCCAGCAGCCGCGGUAAUACGGAGGGUGCAAGCGUUAAUCGGAAUUACUGGGCGUAAAGCGCACGCAGGCGGUU
This 590-nucleotide ribosomal RNA is filed under the name Escherichia coli. RNAcentral describes it as "bacterial SSU rRNA". It matches the Rfam family "Bacterial small subunit ribosomal RNA", at positions 1 to 580 of the family's 1533-position model. The record is from RNAcentral. Lineage: Bacteria; Pseudomonadati; Pseudomonadota; Gammaproteobacteria; Enterobacterales; Enterobacteriaceae.